GAUCUGACCCAGAUCAAAGAUAAUCCUCCGGAAUAUGAGAAGUACUAUAGACAAAUGAACAAGGGAGGUUUUCCCUUCAGCACGCGGGACUGUGGUUGGAUAGUUGCGGACUGUACAGCGGAAGGACUGAAAUCUGUGAUGCUGCUGCAGGA
Molecule: long non-coding RNA, 152 nt
Organism: Sinocyclocheilus rhinocerous
Lineage: Eukaryota; Metazoa; Chordata; Actinopteri; Cypriniformes; Cyprinidae
Exons: 3
Source: RefSeq, a predicted model, not a curated record